This 107-nucleotide small nucleolar RNA is filed under the name Cephalotus follicularis. RNAcentral describes it as "Plant small nucleolar RNA R71". It matches the Rfam family "Plant small nucleolar RNA R71". From Rfam's summary of the family: R71 is a member of the C/D box family of snoRNAs containing the C (UGAUGA) and D (CUGA) box motifs. The record is from Rfam by way of RNAcentral. Lineage: Eukaryota; Viridiplantae; Streptophyta; Magnoliopsida; Oxalidales; Cephalotaceae.
AAACCAUGAUGAGGACACUCUAGGAGAAGGUCUUUGAAACGUUCCAUACAUCGAGAGAAUUGUUCAUUGGGUCGCUGGCCGAAGUAGAAAAUGUUGUUCCUAAGUUU